CCCCUAGUAACUGCGAGUGAAGCGGGAAAAGCUCAAAUUUAAAAUCCCUCUGGGAGUUGUAAUCUAGAGAAGCGUUUUCGGUCGUUGCCUUGGACAAGUCCCUUGGAACAGGGCGUCAUAGAGGGUGAGAAUCCCGUCCUUGCCAAGCUACCAACGUCUAUGUGAUGCGCUCUCGAAGAGUCGAGUUGUUUGGGAAUGCAGCUCAAAACGGGUGGUAAACUCCAUCUAAAGCUAAAUAUUGGCGAGAGACCGAUAGCGAACAAGUACCGUGAGGGAAAGAUGAAAAGCACUUUGGAAAGAGAGUUAAACAGUACGUGAAAUUGCUAAAAGGGAAGCGCUUGAAGUCAGUCGCGUCUUCAGAGACUCAGCCUCACGGCGCAUUUCUCUGUCGACGGGCCAGCAUCAGUUUUGGCCGCGGGAAAAGGGCUUGAGGAAUGUGGCAGCCUCGGCUGUGUUAUAGCCUCUUGUCGUACACCGCGGCGGGGACUGAGGAAUGCUUAAUAGGAUGCUGG
Molecule: ribosomal RNA, 512 nt
Filed under: Dacryomitra pusilla
Lineage: Eukaryota; Fungi; Basidiomycota; Dacrymycetes; Dacrymycetales; Dacrymycetaceae
Description: eukaryotic LSU rRNA
Rfam family: Eukaryotic large subunit ribosomal RNA
Source: RNAcentral